Molecule: unclassified non-coding RNA, 290 nt
Filed under: Hevea brasiliensis (rubber tree)
Lineage: Eukaryota; Viridiplantae; Streptophyta; Magnoliopsida; Malpighiales; Euphorbiaceae
Source: RNAcentral
GUUUGAUAGAAAAUUGAGGGGAAGACUAAUGUGGAACAAAAUCUAUGACCUUCACAUAGAUUAUCCAAGAGUUUCAAUCUUAUGAUAACCAACUCUCUAUAUUUCCUACUUAAUGUGUCAUUCUAACACACACACAUAAAAGGAAAAGUUUAAUUGUUAAAAAACUUAAAUCUUUAGCGUUUCUAUAAUUAUAUUUAAAUCUUUUCAGUAAUUAUUGCUAAAUUUCAAAGGUUUAUUAUAAUUAUACCAUGUGUUCAAAAUUGAGUUUGAAGAUUGCUAACACGGUGUCG